RNAcentral lists this ribosomal RNA (2904 nucleotides) under Escherichia coli. RNAcentral's name for it is "23S ribosomal RNA". It matches the Rfam family "Bacterial large subunit ribosomal RNA". The record is from RNAcentral. Lineage: Bacteria; Pseudomonadati; Pseudomonadota; Gammaproteobacteria; Enterobacterales; Enterobacteriaceae. RNAcentral also lists the same sequence under 1 other name.
GGUUAAGCGACUAAGCGUACACGGUGGAUGCCCUGGCAGUCAGAGGCGAUGAAGGACGUGCUAAUCUGCGAUAAGCGUCGGUGAGGUGAUAUGAACCGUUAUAACCGGCGAUUUCCGAAUGGGGAAACCCAGUGUGUUUCGACACACUAUCAUUAACUGAAUCCAUAGGUUAAUGAGGCGAACCGGGGGAACUGAAACAUCUAAGUACCCCGAGGAAAAGAAAUCAACCGAGAUUCCCCCAGUAGCGGCGAGCGAACGGGGAGGAGCCCAGAGCCUGAAUCAGUGUGUGUGUUAGUGGAAGCGUCUGGAAAGGCGCGCGAUACAGGGUGACAGCCCCGUACACAAAAAUGCACAUGCUGUGAGCUCGAUGAGUAGGGCGGGACACGUGGUAUCCUGUCUGAAUAUGGGGGGACCAUCCUCCAAGGCUAAAUACUCCUGACUGACCGAUAGUGAACCAGUACCGUGAGGGAAAGGCGAAAAGAACCCCGGCGAGGGGAGUGAAAAAGAACCUGAAACCGUGUACGUACAAGCAGUGGGAGCCUCUUUAUGGGGUGACUGCGUACCUUUUGUAUAAUGGGUCAGCGACUUAUAUUCUGUAGCAAGGUUAACCGAAUAGGGGAGCCGAAGGGAAACCGAGUCUUAACUGGGCGUUAAGUUGCAGGGUAUAGACCCGAAACCCGGUGAUCUAGCCAUGGGCAGGUUGAAGGUUGGGUAACACUAACUGGAGGACCGAACCGACUAAUGUUGAAAAAUUAGCGGAUGACUUGUGGCUGGGGGUGAAAGGCCAAUCAAACCGGGAGAUAGCUGGUUCUCCCCGAAAGCUAUUUAGGUAGCGCCUCGUGAAUUCAUCUCCGGGGGUAGAGCACUGUUUCGGCAAGGGGGUCAUCCCGACUUACCAACCCGAUGCAAACUGCGAAUACCGGAGAAUGUUAUCACGGGAGACACACGGCGGGUGCUAACGUCCGUCGUGAAGAGGGAAACAACCCAGACCGCCAGCUAAGGUCCCAAAGUCAUGGUUAAGUGGGAAACGAUGUGGGAAGGCCCAGACAGCCAGGAUGUUGGCUUAGAAGCAGCCAUCAUUUAAAGAAAGCGUAAUAGCUCACUGGUCGAGUCGGCCUGCGCGGAAGAUGUAACGGGGCUAAACCAUGCACCGAAGCUGCGGCAGCGACACUAUGUGUUGUUGGGUAGGGGAGCGUUCUGUAAGCCUGUGAAGGUGGCCUGUGAGGGUUGCUGGAGGUAUCAGAAGUGCGAAUGCUGACAUAAGUAACGAUAAAGCGGGUGAAAAGCCCGCUCGCCGGAAGACCAAGGGUUCCUGUCCAACGUUAAUCGGGGCAGGGUGAGUCGACCCCUAAGGCGAGGCCGAAAGGCGUAGUCGAUGGGAAACAGGUUAAUAUUCCUGUACUUGGUGUUACUGCGAAGGGGGGACGGAGAAGGCUAUGUUGGCCGGGCGACGGUUGUCCCGGUUUAAGCGUGUAGGCUGGUUUUCCAGGCAAAUCCGGAAAACCAAGGCUGAGGCGUGAUGACGAGGCACUACGGUGCUGAAGCGACAAAUGCCCUGCUUCCAGGAAAAGCCUCUAAGCAUCAGGUAACAUCAAAUCGUACCCCAAACCGACACAGGUGGUCAGGUAGAGAAUACCAAGGCGCUUGAGAGAACUCGGGUGAAGGAACUAGGCAAAAUGGUGCCGUAACUUCGGGAGAAGGCACGCUGAUAUGUAGGUGAAGCGACUUGCUCGUGGAGCUGAAAUCAGUCGAAGAUACCAGCUGGCUGCAACUGUUUAUUAAAAACACAGCACUGUGCAAACACGAAAGUGGACGUAUACGGUGUGACGCCUGCCCGGUGCCGGAAGGUUAAUUGAUGGGGUUAGCGGCAACGCGAAGCUCUUGAUCGAAGCCCCGGUAAACGGCGGCCGUAACUAUAACGGUCCUAAGGUAGCGAAAUUCCUUGUCGGGUAAGUUCCGACCUGCACGAAUGGCGUAAUGAUGGCCAGGCUGUCUCCACCCGAGACUCAGUGAAAUUGAACUCGCUGUGAAGAUGCAGUGUACCCGCGGCAAGACGGAAAGACCCCGUGAACCUUUACUAUAGCUUGACACUGAACAUUGAGCCUUGAUGUGUAGGAUAGGUGGGAGGCUUUGAAGUGUGGACGCCAGUCUGCAUGGAGCCGACCUUGAAAUACCACCCUUUAAUGUUUGAUGUUCUAACGUUGGCCCGUAAUCCGGGUUGCGGACAGUGUCUGGUGGGUAGUUUGACUGGGGCGGUCUCCUCCUAAAGAGUAACGGAGGAGCACGAAGGUUGGCUAAUCCUGGUCGGACAUCAGGAGGUUAGUGCAAUGGCAUAAGCCAGCUUGACUGCGAGCGUGACGGCGCGAGCAGGUGCGAAAGCAGGUCAUAGUGAUCCGGUGGUUCUGAAUGGAAGGGCCAUCGCUCAACGGAUAAAAGGUACUCCGGGGAUAACAGGCUGAUACCGCCCAAGAGUUCAUAUCGACGGCGGUGUUUGGCACCUCGAUGUCGGCUCAUCACAUCCUGGGGCUGAAGUAGGUCCCAAGGGUAUGGCUGUUCGCCAUUUAAAGUGGUACGCGAGCUGGGUUUAGAACGUCGUGAGACAGUUCGGUCCCUAUCUGCCGUGGGCGCUGGAGAACUGAGGGGGGCUGCUCCUAGUACGAGAGGACCGGAGUGGACGCAUCACUGGUGUUCGGGUUGUCAUGCCAAUGGCACUGCCCGGUAGCUAAAUGCGGAAGAGAUAAGUGCUGAAAGCAUCUAAGCACGAAACUUGCCCCGAGAUGAGUUCUCCCUGACUCCUUGAGAGUCCUGAAGGAACGUUGAAGACGACGACGUUGAUAGGCCGGGUGUGUAAGCGCAGCGAUGCGUUGAGCUAACCGGUACUAAUGAACCGUGAGGCUUAACCUU